UUUUUCAGGAAGAAAACCGUGUGGUUAAUUCCCUUACGGGAAGACGGUACCGAAAGAAUAAACACCCGCUAACUUCCUGCCCGGAGACGCGGUAAUUAGAAGGGGGCAAGCGUUAAUUGGAAUUACUGGGGGGAAAGCGGGCGUAGGCGGUUUGUUAAGUCAGAUGUGAAAGCCCCGGGGUCAACCUGGGAAAUGCCUUUGAUGAUGGCAGGGUAGGGGACGGUAAAGGGUGGUGGAAUUCCCGGUGGAGGCGUGAAAAGGGUAGAGUUUGGGAGGAACCUCCGUGGCGGAGGCGACCACCUGGACCAGUACUGACGGUGAGGCACGAAAGGGUGGGGAGCAAACAGGAUUA
This 352-nucleotide ribosomal RNA is filed under the name uncultured bacterium. Its description in RNAcentral is "bacterial SSU rRNA". It matches the Rfam family "Bacterial small subunit ribosomal RNA", at positions 434 to 780 of the family's 1533-position model. The record is from RNAcentral.